RNAcentral lists this transfer RNA (59 nucleotides) under Allacta xizangensis. Its description in RNAcentral is "tRNA-Ser". Lineage: Eukaryota; Metazoa; Arthropoda; Insecta; Blattodea; Pseudophyllodromiidae. The record is from RNAcentral.
AGUUAAAUCAAUUAUGUUUUGAAAACAUUAAAUAAGAAGAUAAUAACUUCUAUUAACUU